GAAAUCUAUGAAAUUUUAACACAAGGUUUUUGACCACAAAAGGAAGGUUGGUAUUGAUUUUGGGAGUUUUGGUCCCAACAUUUUAGGAAUUAGGGGCCAAAAAGGGCCAAAUAAGCAUUUUCUUGGUUUUCGCACUAUAACUUUAGUUUAAGUUAAUAGAAAUCUAUGAAAUUUUGACACAAGGUUUAUGACCACAAAAGAACGG
This 205-nucleotide long non-coding RNA is filed under the name Mytilus galloprovincialis (Mediterranean mussel). The record is from RNAcentral. Lineage: Eukaryota; Metazoa; Mollusca; Bivalvia; Mytilida; Mytilidae.